CUCCUCGCCCCCGUCUCCUUCUUCGACCCACACACGAACGUGGGUUCGAGCCGCCGGCCCUCCAGCUUGCCCGCCCCUCUUCCCCGUCUUCUCCCCUCCUCUACUCCCCCAGGCCAUACCGUGGUGGAUGACAUGCCCGCCGGCGCUCCAUCCUCCCCUCUUCUCCAUCUUUCCCCUAGCCAUCUCCCUCCUCCCUCCCUGUUUCGCCCCCACCCCUACUCGGAUCUGGUCUGGAAUUUGGCGCCGGCGACUUGGAGGCGGAGGACACUCGAGCGCUCCUUCUGGAUCGGGUCAACACGGCUUCGCCGCUCGAUGCGGAACGACGGGGGCGGCUGGAUCGGCGGCGGCGGCUGGAGCAUGCAGAACGACGACGGCGGCUGGAGUUGGGGAUUGCCAUCCCUGUGAGGAGCGCGUCUCGCCGGCCGCGGCUUCACUGGGAGGAGCGCAGCUGCGUAGUCCGUCGCUCGCACCGCUGCUUCGCCGGUUAGGAGCAUCAGCUACGGCGCUUGCCAUCCCCGUGGUCACCGCUGCUGCUGCAAACGCUGGUGAUGGAGAAUCGCUCCUUGGUUUUUGUUGCUGCCAGAUCCUCAAUCGCUACCUCGAUCUUGCCAUCACCAGCCCAUCAAGGGCUCCAAUAUCCUCAGGUAUCCACCAGAAAAAUAAGGAAAAAGCUCAAGUUCUGACUCAUGUGUUUCUAGAUUAAAAAACAAGAAGCUCUAGCCCAUGUGGUUGAGGUUGUCUCUUAUCUUAUUUGCUUAGCGUAUUUAUAUUUCAUCAGGAUGCAAGUUGCUACUUGAGUGUUAGAAUUUGUGAAAUACCGAUUUUCUCUUGGCCCCAACGACAUUGCUUGGCUCCACUCAAAAUGCCAGUUGUUAGAAGUAAUAUGUUCUUCCUUUUCCCCGAAGAAGAUUUAUACAAUCUGAUCAUCUAUACAUUGGACAGAUAAACAAUAGAAAGAGAACUCAAUCUGAUAUGCUUUUGUUCAGGUCCAGAUAUAGAAACCAUAGAUUGGUAAAUGCAUCUAAAUUCUAAAUUAAAUUAUGCUUAAUGUGAGAGGAAAGCAAGAUUUCCUUACAGUACUGAUGGUUAAUGAUAGAAGCAUAUCAAGUAUAACAGUGAAAUUGCAGUACUGUUGUUCGUCGCGUUGUUCAGUUAAAGGUUAAUAUCUCCAAACUUCAUUUUCUCUUUUUAUAGAAGCUCUCGCCUAACAACUUAUUUUCUAGGACUGUUAGUCUUUGUUUAACAAAUUUGAAUCUUGAUGUGGCUAAACGGUGAAUAAAUUCUACUGUAAACAUUAGUGUGUAUGUCGCUCUUUUCUUCCUACAAAAAAUAGUCCGCUCAUUAAACUUAAAUGCAAUAUCAAUUCACUCCGAAGAGGCUUAUCCCCUUUCACUAACUACCUAUUCCUUUGACCUGUCAAACAAUCGAAAGGAUCCCUUUAAAUUGGUUCUAAAUGUUCAUGCAGCAUCAGUGUUAUAAGGUACCAGAAAACAUGUGGAGAGAAUACUUCGUUCUGUUGUGAAAACAAUAGCUGUACUCUUCUAGGUUUUGUUAGAUCAAUUGGCUACUUUGACGGAUUCUUGUGUGGACGUGAUGGGCAGGUACUUCGCCCUCUUCCUCAUCCUUCCUGUACUCCCCCUAUAUCUUAUUUGCACACUCCCAACCCAUUUUUUUGCCUUAUUUGCACAUCUGUUAUAACAGCAAUGUGACAUUAUGGUAUGAUAUUUGCAAUCAUCCACUUAAAUGGCACCUUCAGUUCCAAAGAAAAUAGAUGUAUUUGACUCUUUUUGUUUACAUCCAUCAUGCCAACAAUGAUUAGAGGAAAUCGGUAGUGAUAACAUGAUUUGUUGACUUACUUGGGCUUGGUACAGCGCUGCCGUAUAGAGACACUAUGCGAUGCUAGAUUUGGUAUGAUGCGAUGCCAGCUGUGAAUCUGGGAGUGAAGGAGGUCACGAUGGAGCGGCUCCUUCUCCAUCAUGAUCUGAAGUAUAACAUAGUGCACACAUUAGUUGGAGAAGGAACUGUCUUCCAAGCUUAUAAAUGAUUUCGUCUUACAGGCCAGCCAGAAAAUCUUCAAUCCUCAUUGUAUAAUGAAAUUAUACAUCUGCAACUCUCAUUGCAAGUAAAUUAUAAUCCUUCAGCGCUCAUUGUAUAAGUAUAACCAUGUGAUUUGGAAUGGUUGAUAAUCCAUAUAUCCCACACUUAUAUUAAGUUUGUUCAGUGAGAAUGUGAGAUACAAGUACAACUUUAAUACAAAGUUGUACGAAGUUAGGGAUAGCAGAGUAUUCCAGUAUUCAUGUUGAAAGCUAUGUUAAAUCCUAAAUUUUGUACGCUUCUGAAAUGAAGGUGAGCAAUAGCAUCUUGCAUUAACAGAAGAAAUUAUGUUUC
Molecule: long non-coding RNA, 2388 nt
Organism: Triticum aestivum (bread wheat)
Lineage: Eukaryota; Viridiplantae; Streptophyta; Magnoliopsida; Poales; Poaceae
Exons: 2
Source: RefSeq, a predicted model, not a curated record